AGGGGGUAUCCUCUACCCAUUACCUCAACCCACAUCUAGAGAGAGCAAGCAUCACCUCUCAUCCCUGGAACCCUUCAAAUUUGAACCAUAUUCCUCCAUUUCUUCUCAUUUUCUCUUAUGGCAAGCUAUUCUAGAGUCUGACAGAGCUUUCAUCAGGUUGUCAGAAAAUUGCUCAAACCACCCACUUCUCAUCCCUCAUUUUUCU
RNAcentral lists this long non-coding RNA (205 nucleotides) under Prunus persica (peach). RNAcentral's name for it is "long non-coding RNA (PPER_LNC005789)". The record is from RNAcentral. Lineage: Eukaryota; Viridiplantae; Streptophyta; Magnoliopsida; Rosales; Rosaceae.